Molecule: ribosomal RNA, 253 nt
Filed under: uncultured bacterium
Lineage: Bacteria
Description: partial 16S ribosomal RNA
Rfam family: Bacterial small subunit ribosomal RNA
Source: RNAcentral
GACAGAGGGGGCAAGCGUUGCUCGGAAUUACUGGGCGUAAAGGGCGCGUAGGCGGGAUGGCAAGUCGGUCGUGAAAUCCCUCGGCUCAACCGAGGAACGUCGAUCGAUACUGCUGUUCUUGAGGAUUGCAGAGGAGACUGGAAUUCCCGGUGUAGCGGUGAAAUGUGUAGAGAUCGGGAGGAACACCGGUGGCGAAGGCGGGUCUCUGGGCAAUUCCUGACGCUGAGGAGCGAAAGUGUGGGGAGCGAACAGG